AUUUAUUUUUGGUAACAAUUAAAAUUUGACAAGAUGUUAAUUAGGAAAUCGGAUACGCACUCGCGAGUCUUGUUGAAAAGCAGCAUGCGAGAACUGGCCGAUAUAAAGGGUCAUAAGGGGACCUCGAAGGGAACUGUUCAUUAUAUGGCACUGUGGUUGUUAGCGUCAGUCCGAUGGUCCGAUAUAAUCUCCAGGGACGUCGCUAUAGGGGGGGGGGGGGUGUUGCCCCCAAUAAUUCAAACGUUGGUCAAAGUUGGUCAAAAUGAAACUGAUAUUUGCUUAAAAUUGAAAGUAAAACUCGGGAAAAUUUGGUAAAUGUUUGGGAUAAAAGAUGGUCGAAGUAGGUCAAAGUUAUGAAAUGGUUCGCAAUUUUAACAAUUUUAAAGCUUUUGUUAUCUUUGCACUGAAAAAAUUGGAAGCCUUGCUUAUCUUGGUCGAAAAAUUUUGAAUAUGCUUCGGUUAGUGUG
Non-coding RNA from Paramuricea clavata, 467 nucleotides. NCBI's taxonomy places the organism in Eukaryota, Metazoa, Cnidaria, Anthozoa, Malacalcyonacea, Plexauridae. The record is from the annotation of a GenBank genome assembly.